Molecule: unclassified non-coding RNA, 343 nt
Filed under: soil metagenome
Description: partial contains 5.8S ribosomal RNA, internal transcribed spacer 2, and large subunit ribosomal RNA
Rfam family: 5.8S ribosomal RNA (bases 1-120)
Source: RNAcentral
GAUGAAGAACGCAGCGAAAUGCGAUAAGUAAUGUGAAUUGCAGAAUUCAGUGAAUCAUCGAAUCUUUGAACGCACAUUGCGCCCGCUAGUAUUCUGGCGGGCAUGCCUGUCCGAGCGUCAUUUCAACCCUCAAGCCCCCGGGCUUGGUGUUGGGGAUCGGCGAGCCUCCGCGCCCGCCGUCCCCUAAAUCUAGUGGCGGUCUCGAUGUAGCUUCCUCUGCGUAGUAGCACACCUCGCACUGGGAAACAGCGCGGCCACGCCGUUAAACCCCCAACUUCUGAACGUUUGACCUCGGAUCAGGUAGGAAUACCCGCUGAACUUAAGCAUAUCAAUAAGCGGAGGA